RNAcentral lists this long non-coding RNA (337 nucleotides) under Setaria italica (foxtail millet). RNAcentral describes it as "long non-coding RNA (SITA_LNC006488)". Lineage: Eukaryota; Viridiplantae; Streptophyta; Magnoliopsida; Poales; Poaceae. The record is from RNAcentral.
UUUCCACCAUACCUAGAAUCUCAUUAGUAUACACGACGUUAGAUGUCUAAUUGGUGAUCAUAAGUAUUAAAAGGAUGUAUGGACACAACUUAACUGAUGAAACAUCUUGCUGACAGAACAAACUGAUCACCGUGAAGCCCGACACCAAGGUCCUGCAAGCGAUGCAGCUGAUGACAGGUAACCAACAUGUGUCCUUCUGUCAAGCAGACAAGCGGUAUUACUAGAACUGUUGAGGGCACUGGAAUUGAUCAUGAUCUGUCGCACCAAUCUCUUCUUGCAGAGAACCGCAUCAGACACAUCCCGGUGAUCGACGGCACGGGGAUGGUGGGGAUGGUCU